Molecule: ribosomal RNA, 274 nt
Filed under: uncultured bacterium
Lineage: Bacteria
Description: partial 16S ribosomal RNA
Rfam family: Bacterial small subunit ribosomal RNA
Source: RNAcentral
AUACGUAGGGGGCGAGCGUUGCUCGGAUUUACUGGGCGUAAAGGGGGCGUAGGCGGCCCUGCAAGUCGGCGGUGAAAUCCCUCGGCUCAACCGAGGAAUUGCCUCCGAAACUGCAGGGCUUGAGGGCAGGAGAGGGGGGCGGAAUUCCCGGUGUAGCGGUGAAAUGCGUAGAUCUCGGGAGGAACACCGGAGGCGAAGGCGGCUCCCUGGACUGUCCCUGACGCUGAGGCCCGAAAGCCAGGGGAGCAAACGGGAUUAGAAACCCCAGUAGUCC